This 699-nucleotide unclassified non-coding RNA is filed under the name Hevea brasiliensis (rubber tree). Lineage: Eukaryota; Viridiplantae; Streptophyta; Magnoliopsida; Malpighiales; Euphorbiaceae. The record is from RNAcentral.
CUAGGACCUAUGACUCCGAGGACAAGCAAGGCACAUUUAUCCCCAAACGAUGAACAAUUAUAGCAGAAGAAGUGACGAAGAGGAAAAGGGUUUACUCUGGAAGCUUCCAGAAGUGAGGUUUAAAGACCUUGGAAAGGUCGGCCCCGCUUUCGGCCUCGGCGCCGGCUGCGGUGUUGGCUUCGGCGUCGGCCUCAUCGGAGGAGUUGGGCUGGGUCCUGGGAUUCCUGGUUUACAAAUGGGUUUUGGGUUCGGUGCUGGAUGUGGAAUUGGUUAUGGAUUUGGGUAUGGGGUGGGUAGAGGCGUAGCUCAUGAUGAGAAUCGGAGAUACUCUAAUGUCGGCACGUUCUUCCAUGGUCCAGGAAAUCUUCCAACCCAGGAUGAGAUUGGUGGUCUUAUUGAUGAACUAGUCAUCAACACCAAGAAGCUAGUCAGAGCAACUUCAAGAGAAAUUGAGAAGUGGAGAAAAUGAAAUGAGUUUCUUGCUGCACAAAUUGCAUUAAUUAGGGACUCUUGAUGUGUGCUUCAUAUCUGGUCGCUAAUGUUUAGAUUUAUUCCAGUGAAAUUUAUGAGAAGCAAUACUUGAUGUGCCUAAUAACAAUGGCUACAAUGAAACUCUCUUUCUGCAUGUUCCAGGAUUCAUGUCUUUUAGUAGGAUGUUUAAGUACCAAAGCUAUAAAUAUCAUUUUUAGAUAAAAUUCA